RNAcentral lists this ribosomal RNA (253 nucleotides) under uncultured bacterium. Its description in RNAcentral is "partial 16S ribosomal RNA". It matches the Rfam family "Bacterial small subunit ribosomal RNA", at positions 524 to 776 of the family's 1533-position model. The record is from RNAcentral.
UACGGAGGGUGCAAACGUUGCUCGGAAUCAUUGGGCAUAAAGCGCACGUAGGCGGUGCCGUAAGUCGGAUGUGAAAUCCCUCGGCCUAACCGAGGAACUGCGUCCGAUACUGCGGUGCUUGAGGAUCAGAGGGGUGCAUGGAAUUUCCGGUGGAGCGGUGAAAUGCGUUGAUAUCGGAAGGAACUCCGGCGGCGAAAGCGAUGCACUGGCUGAUUUCUGACGCUGAGGUGCGAAAGCCAGGGGAGCAAACGGG